AUUGAACGCUGGCGGCAGGCCUAACACAUGCAAGUCGAACGAGCGGCGGACGGGUGAGUAAUGUAUGGGAAACUGCCUGAUGGAGGGGGAUAACUACUGGAAACGGUAGCUAAUACCGCAUACCAUCAGAUGUACCCAGAUGGGAUUAGCUUGUAGGUAAGGUAACGGCUCACCUAGGCGACGAUCCCUAGCUGGUCUGAGAGGAUGAUCAUCCACACUGGGACUGAGACACGGCCCAGACUCCUACGGGAGGCAGCAGUGGGGAAUAUUGCACAAUGGGCGCAAGCCUGAUGCAGCCAUGCCGCGUGUAUGAAGAAGGCCUUCGGGUUGUAAAGUACUUUCAGUCGGGAGGCGUUACCGACAGAAGAAGCACCGGCUAACUCCGUGCCAGCAGCCGCGGUAAUUC
Molecule: ribosomal RNA, 406 nt
Filed under: uncultured bacterium
Lineage: Bacteria
Description: partial 16S ribosomal RNA
Rfam family: Bacterial small subunit ribosomal RNA
Source: RNAcentral